RNAcentral lists this ribosomal RNA (253 nucleotides) under uncultured bacterium. Its description in RNAcentral is "partial 16S ribosomal RNA". It matches the Rfam family "Bacterial small subunit ribosomal RNA", at positions 524 to 776 of the family's 1533-position model. The record is from RNAcentral.
UACGUAGGGUCCGAGCGUUGUCCGGAAUUAUUGGGCGUAAAGGGCUCGUAGGCGGUCCGUCACGUCGGGAGUGAAAACUCAGGGCUCAACCCUGAGCGUGCUUCCGAUACGGGCGGACUAGAGGUAUGCAGGGGAGAACGGAAUUCCUGGUGUAGCGGUGGAAUGCGCAGAUAUCAGGAGGAACACCUAUGGCGAAGGCAGCACUCUGGUACGUGACUGACGCUGAGACGCGAAAGCGUGGGGAGCAAACAGG